Non-coding RNA from Etheostoma spectabile (orangethroat darter), 524 nucleotides. The record is from the annotation of a RefSeq genome assembly. Lineage: Eukaryota; Metazoa; Chordata; Actinopteri; Perciformes; Percidae.
CAUUGGGGGUUUUCUCUGAUGUUUCUCUCCAUCCUCACAGGUAUCAGCUGUGAAGAACUCACUCCAGUAGAGAAAGAAGAGAACAGUUUAGAAGACAGCUCUGUUACUCUGUCCUACAGAUACUCCAGACAAGCAACUGGUGCUGAUUAUUUCUUCUGGUAUCGACAAUAUCCAGGAAAACCACCAGAGUUCCUCAUCUUUCACUUUGGAACACAAAAUGCAACAAAGUCUGGACUGUCUGUUUCAGUGAGUGAGGAUAAAACCAAAAUGGAUCUCCAGAUCUCCUCUGCUGCAGGGCCAGACUCUGCUGUGUACUACUGUGCUGUGAGGCCCACAGUGACAGCAAACCCACAGUCUCUGUACAAAAACACAAGCUGACACACUGCCAAGCUGCUGGAAGCCUUUUUUCUACCCUGUUGUAGUGAACCUUGUAGCUCCACUAGAGGGCGACAUUAUCAAGUAGGAGGUGCACUACUUGUGCACUGUGUUCAACCAUUCAGUCAAUAAGAAGUGGAGCUGUGAAG